GCGAGUGGAGCCCCUGGGGCCCGUGCCGGGAGCCCUGCAGCGGUGGCUUCCGGCUGCGCCGGCGCCACGUCCAGCACCCGGCCGAGGGCAGGUGGUGCUGGGGAGCCCGGGUCCAGUCGGAGAGCUGCAACACGGCCGCCUGCCCAGGGGAGGAGUGCAAGGAUCGGGGCAAGGAGCACGCCCCGGCCUGCGCCAACCGCUGCCCCCGCACCUGCGCCGACCUGUGGGAGCACGUGGAGUGUCUGCAGGGGGAGUGCAAGCCAGGCUGCCGGUGCCCCGAGGGGCAGCUGCUGCAGGACGGCGUGUGCGUGCCAGUGCUGGCCUGCCGCUGCG
This 333-nucleotide long non-coding RNA is filed under the name Terrapene triunguis (Three-toed box turtle). RNAcentral's name for it is "Terrapene carolina triunguis (Three-toed box turtle) lncRNA (ENSTMTG00000019282.1)". Lineage: Eukaryota; Metazoa; Chordata; Testudines; Emydidae. The record is from RNAcentral.